AGUUGGACCGCGCCGCCGGUGUCCGAGGUCCGCGCCGCUGCCGUUACCGCUCGCCGCGGCGCUCAGAGCGGUUUUGCAGCGUGCGGCCGAGCUCCUCCAGCGUUGCCUCGGCCUCGGAGCACCCAGGCAGAACAUUUCUGAAAUAUAAAGAUGUUCAUGAGGAGUUUCUCUGAAAUUAGCCCUCCGGCUGCACAAGCGAGCCGCCCCGGGGACUUCUCCAGGCAAGAAUGACAACAGGGCUGUGUCCUCAACCCCUCGAUUCAGUACCUUAGACCAGCAUCAGGGAACCUCCCACAGGGGAGGCCAAUCAGCUGCCCUGCCCCAAAGAAGAGUUUUUAGCAGGAGAGAGAAGAAAGAAGCCACAAAGUGACAAGAGUGACCAGAACUGCGGGCCAGACAGAUUUCAGACUCUGAGGAAGAACCACAUCUUGUCCUUUGUGCUCUUCGCGGCACCUCUGAACAUCGAGGGACAUGGGACGGCUUGGGAACUGGUGACUGUAUGUGGCCGUGGACACCACGCUGAGCGCAGACUGUGGUUCAAGGCGGUGGCGGGUGGCGAUGCGUUACCUGUGAGGUCGCAGCCUGCCUUCCCUGGGCUGGCCGUCAGCCCUUCUCUCCCAAGUCACGCGGGAGGAAGGUGAUUUCGUCCCGACUGCCACCCUGCCCCCCCUACGCCCCCACCCCCACUGGCAGCCAGAUUAGCCCGGAUGUCCGUAAGGUGGCAGAUGCUUAGUCCCGUUGCCUGGGUUCUACCUGAGAGGUACUGCUGGCCGCCAUGCGCUGCACUAACCCUGCAAGUGCCCUUGAACCCUCUGGUCCUUCCUGACCUUCUUAUGCCUUAAGAAGGGGGAGGCAGGGAACAAGCAAGGCGUCAGGAUGUUGGAGAGGCAGCCGGUGUCCUGGUUAAGGAGGGCCGGCUUGGGGGCACCCUCAGCAGGAACCUGGAACUCUUUGAGAGCAAGGUCUAUGUCUGAAACAUCUCUAUUUUCAAGUGCCUCGCUCCAUGCCUGGCACGUAGUAGGUAUUUGCCUGGCACAGAGUAGGUGAGCAGCGCUUCUGUAGUGAGCAGCAACCCAGGAGUGCGAGGAAGUGACUGGGAGAACUGAUGUUAACAACUGGGCUGAAAGGUUCCCCCCCGGGCCGCCCCCCAGGGGUACACCAUCCUCUUGGUGUAUGUCGGAAUUCUGAGUCAAGCACAAAAUGCAGACACCCCUUGUCUUUUGUUAGCUGCAGACUCUCUCUCUCCCCUGCAAAAAAGGGGACUACUUCUGUCUGUCCAUCCAGGGACUUUUAUGGCCUCGGCGCUCUGAUCUAAAUUUCUUUAAAAGCCAGUGAGUUAGAAAUGUUCAUGGUGGGAUCCUAAGAGCUGGUCCUGGGUUGGGCACUGCCCAGAAGAACUGCAUGUCCUCAGCAUCCAAGGCUGUCUCUGAUCAGCUGUACUUAAGCCUGGUGAAGAUGUGAGCAGAUCGUCGCGCGUUGAGGAGAGAAAGAAAGGGAGGGCCCGGACCAGCCGCCUCGCUGUCUGCUUACCAAAGGCUCACCGCUCCCGAGGUCGUCCCUGGGCAGGAGGCCAGCUGGUCACUGGGUUUGGGGGCUCCUGUCUUGGAAGCUUCUAGCUGGCACGUCCUGGGUCUCUAGCGGACCCUCUCAGAUACUCUUCCCACGACAACCCCGAGACCAAACGAGUCAGACAUGAUUAAAGAGGCAGAGGAGGCUGAGAUGGCUAAUCCAGGGAAGGCUCCUGGGAGAGCAAGGACUGGACGGCUGGGGGCCUCUCAGCGCGGCACUGCUGGGGAGCUGGCACCGGCGGUUCCAGACAAACUGUCCCAAAGGCUUCUGGGAAGUGGCUCCAGCAACUAGAAGGAAAGCUGUAAAGCACUUUAUGGUGUGCGAAGUGACCCCCCCACCCCCACUCCCCACCCUGGAGGACCCCGAGAGAAGCACCACGAGGCUCUUCUGACGGGCGCUGGCGAGCUGGCCAUCCUUGCAGGGGCUCGGCCCCACUCCCGGGGGCGUGAGACUGAGGACGACGGCACUGACCACCGAGCGUUCCGUGCUUCACACGCAGCAUCUCAUUUAAUCCCCCCAUCGAGCCUUGAAACGGGCCGUUUCUAUCCUCACAUUACAAAUGAAGAAACUAAGACAUGGAGAGGCCAAAUAACUUGCCCAAGGUCAUGCAACUAAGAAGUAGGGGAAUAGGAUUCAAAGCCAGGUCUGCCCAACAGCUGGGCUUUUGAAAGUGCUCGUUCUCCCACUGCGGGAUUUUUUGCAUUCCCUGUGCUGGGAUAACCAGCCCAUCUCCUGUCCCCCGUUACAUGGUUUUCUUGAAACAGUUCUGCUUCUCCAGUCUCUCCUGUGGCCCAUUAAAGCCACAAACUGGUUUCUAGGAGAACACGUCGAGUCGGUGCUGAGUGCUUCCCACCCCAUUAAAGCCGUGUUCACGACAAAUGCCCAGCUUCCUACUAGCAGUCACUGGACUUUCUGCUUCGGGAACCUGGGGAGAUCUGUGCUUAGGCUCUCAGUUCUGAAGAUAGGGUAAUAACAGGUGGAGCAAAGCAAGGACAUCUUAUUUCUGUUCCACCCUGACUGGACCUCAAACAGAGUUACCUGAAGAGCUGGAUUUGGCUGGGCUGGUUCAACUGUCGCCUUAGCUCAAGGGUUCUGUCUGCCAGCCAGACUCCCCUCCCGUCCUCCAUGGGGCAUCCACUGAAAGGGGGAUGAAGUAUCCAAACUGGCUUUUUCACUCCUGGGUCUGGCGCCCCGGCGCUCUCCUAGGCGGCGUCUCGGUGGAGCGGCCUCAUCUUACAGUGUUGCCCUGGGCUCCCAGAACCCACUGUCCGUUCCCUUCUCCACUCCUUUCUGCCCCCCACCCCGCAGCCGCUUCUGUGGGGAAGGGUCUCAUUCAGCCCCCGCUGCCAGGUGGCUGUGCUGUAUCUCGUGACCCUGCUCUGCCCCCCCUACACACACACAUACAGGUCACUGGACCAGGAUCUAUAUAGGCUGGCCAACAACUUUUGAAGUCCCCUGGCUCAGAAAUAUAAAGAAAGCCAGUGAGACCAGUCAGAUUCCCCUUUUAGGAAACAUGAACCCCCACAUCAGACCAUACGGGCAGUGUGUGACAAGAGGUGGCGAGAACAGGAAGGAGCCUGGAGGGACUGAUGUGUUGGCCAGAAUUACAGCGAGGAAGAAAGCUGGAGAUUAAAAAAAAAGCAAAACAAGCUGUGACACAGAAAAAAUGCACUUCUAGCGUCUUUUGGUGAAAAGAUAAAGGAAGGAAUGACCAGAAGGGAGCUGGGACUCUGAAAGGCAGAGAGACAGGCUGGCCCUGGAGCCACCCUGGGGCCCACUAGACCUGCUCUGCCCCAGUGGGUGUCACUGCAGUGAGCUCAUUACUUACUCCCUUUGCUGACUGUUGGCUUAGACGUGAGUGGGCACGUGACUUAGUUCUGCCAACAAAACUUACAGAGAAAUGGCCGGGGAACAUUCUGGGAAGAAGUUUGCUUUCUGAUCAAAAGAGGCAGAGAGACUGAAGAGGCCCAUCCCUUCGUCCUGCUUUGAACAUGGAUGUUUGAGAUGUGAUAGCUGGAGCUGGAGCAGCCAUCUUGAGACCAUGAGGCAAAAAGACCAAGCAAAAAAGCCAAUACACCAAGAUGGGCCAAGCAACAGAUUAAAAAAAGCCUGGGUCCUUGAUGAUAGCGUUGAGCCAUUAUACCUAUCCUGGAAUCACGUACUUCCAGUCUUAAUGAUCUAUCAAUUAAAUGUCUUUUAUUUUCUAAGCAGAUUUCUGCUAUUCGCAGCCUUCAGCUGUGGGCAGAGAAUGCUGGCGGUUGACAAGGACCAGAUUAUGCCUUCUUCGGAUCCACCCUGUAUCAAGCAGUGUGUGGUUCAUGUUGUUUGAACACCAGAAAAUGUGCCUGACCCUUCCCUUAUGAAAUGAGAGGCUGAACUCAGAACUCUAGCCCUUCCUCUCUAAAUUUCUAGUUUUAGAAGACAAAGAGAACCUGGCAUCGUCCUAAUGUACCCUUCAGAUGACAUAUUAUUCCACUACAUACAGAACUUGAGAAAAAUCAAAAGCCCGUUUCCCAUCUCGAAAGAGUCUUCAGCAGUAAAGACGCAUGGCCCGCAGGAGUUCACCCAGUAAAUGGGGCCCCCCCGAACAGAGAUGUGUUGCAAUCACAGCAGAAUUUGCACCCUCCAGCUGCUGGGGGUAAGCCACACACCGUCCUUAUGGAGUCCUGCCCCCGGGCCCAAACGAGGCUCUGUUAUUAUUACUUCAUUCAUUCAGCAGACAUGGACUGAAUACCCCUGGAAGAAGAAUUUAAGCUUAUAAAAGCAAGGUUAAUAUAAGGAAGCUAAAACAUUAGAGAUUUAAAAAAAAAAAAAUCCUCUGAGAUGAUCGGAGAAAAGAAUGAAAGCUUUGGUUGCAGUGGAAGAAGCAAAAUGUUGAAACCCCUACUUAAUGCAAUUAAUGCUUCAGUGUGAUACUUAAUCAACCCCUGAACUCUCCCCACCCCCUAAAGUUUCCCCAUAUGUCACUAAGGAUGCUCUGAAACCCAACAGGGAAGAGAACUGAAGGCUUUUCCUCCUUCUCCCUAAUGAAGGUUUUUCUCCAGAAUGAAUGAGCCUGAUUACUGACUAAAGGCCCUCCUGCGGUCUUUACGCCCAGGGUGCUGCUUUCCUGAGAGUUCUCCAAAGACGAGAGAAGGGGCUCCGCUCUCCCCAGAUGGCGCCACGCGGCUCUGACGCACUGGCUUCUCUCUCGCACGAAUGAUCUGACGUUCAGUGUGCUUCACGCUGCCCCCGACAGCUUUCCACAUUCAUCACAGGUGCCCGCUUCGAGUCCCAAGGAACGUGCUGACAGUCUAAGGCUGGAACUCUGGCUCCAGGCUCUUCCCCACCCAUUCUGCUCGCGGGGCUCCUGGCCGCUCUGAAAUCCCAGAUGUCUAAUUAGCUCUGAGCACAGUCUAAAAGCAUUCGCACAUCCGUUCUGUGCAUAUGGUUUUUCUCCAGUGUGAAUUCUCUGACGUUGAAUGAGCUUUCCUUUCCCGCAGGCGCCCACAUUGACGGCAUUUGUAGCACUUCUGAAUGUGAAUUAGCCGAUGCCAUGUGAGGCGUCAGAAAGCUGACGGAUGCCUCCCUCAAACAAGGACUCUUUCCAAAAUGAAUGUUAGAAUGUUCUGGAGGACGGGAGCCCUGAGAAAAGUCGCCUCCAUUCAUAACAAAGAUGUUCCCUCUAAGAUGCAUAUUGUAAUGUUGAAUAAAUUCUGAAUUCUAAGAUUUGGCCACAACCAUUUCCUCACUUCUUAGAAAAUGUGUGGAGAAUUGCAGAUUUUCCCAUAUGCAUCACGUUCCUGGGGUGGGGCCCCUAAAGGUUCUCGAGGAUCUCGCUGUAUCCACAGACCUGUCUACACUCAAACCUGGUCGGUGUCCCACAGGGACCUUCUCCAGGCAUCCAGCUCUGAGUUCCCACUCAGGCCACAUGGCUGUGCCCAGUCCCAGGUCACAAUAUGAAAUUACAGGAAAUGUACAUUUCAACCACUGUCUCUAUUUUCUUUGAUGUCUUUUUAGGGCUGAACUCAGGGCAUAUGGAGGUUCCCAGGCUAGGGGUCAAAUCAGCUACAGCUGCCGGCCUACGCCACAGCCACAGCAACGCGGGAUCCGAGAAGCGUCUGCAACCUACAGCACAGCACAUGGCGCUGCCAGAUCCUUAACCCACUGAGCUGAGCCAAGGAUCAAACCUGAGUUCUCAUGGACACUAGUUGGGUUCAUUACCACUGAGCCACAACGGGAACUCUUCAACCACUGUCUCUUACAAGAUCAAGUUUCUUGGACUAAGAAUAAAAGAUUUGGGGAGAUCAAUGAUAAGCAUACCUUUGGGCAAAUAUAUAAAGUGAUGGGUGUGACAGAUUGCUGGGUUUUGGUAUUUUCCUUUCUUAACCCAGUUUUCACCACAGUGAGAAGGUAGCCAUUAAAACCGCUCACGUUCUCUGGUGACCGGGAGGGAGCACGUGGGCAGGUGCAAGGAAGCUGUUCCCAGUGUUUCUUGAUCUGGAUGCUGGUCAGAGUGUGUUCAUUUCCCCAUCCUCCCAGGCAGCCCCAGGACAGUUCCAGCAAACGAGGUAGAAGCGGAACUGGGCUUUCAAGGAAACCUGUGACAGGGAGCAGACUCCAGAGCAGGAACCUCUUGCCUUCUCCCUACCUGCCCCACUUCUUUCUGCCGGAUCCUGGUCAUGACGCUGGCUCCUGCCGCAGCCAUCCUGUGAGCACAUGGAGAAGGUCAAGGGCAGAAGAUGGCACAGCGACCCUGCAGACGGUGCCUGGUCCUGGUGGCCUUGAACUUCUCCCUUCCGGAAUUCUCACUGUUUUUAGUCUAGUGGGGGAGAAAUGAUUCACAUUUGAUGAUGGACGUAAGGCAUUUUUCCCUAUGUUUAUCACCUCUUGUUUUAAUUUCUGUCUUUCCCUACCUUCCUUUGUAAAACAUGUGUACUCAUGGAAUAUGUUAGUCCUUUGUGUGUCAAAAAUGUUGCAG
This 6529-nucleotide long non-coding RNA is filed under the name Sus scrofa (pig). Its description in RNAcentral is "lncRNA (ENSSSCG00000046214.2)". Lineage: Eukaryota; Metazoa; Chordata; Mammalia; Artiodactyla; Suidae. The record is from RNAcentral.